AUUGAACGCUGGCGGCAUGCUUUACACAUGCAAGUCGAACGGCAGCACAGGGAGCUUGCUCCCGGGUGGCGAGUGGCGCACGGGUGAGUAAUACAUCGGAACGUGUCCUGUUGUGGGGGAUAACUGCUCGAAAGGGUGGCUAAUACCGCAUGAGACCUGAGGGUGAAAGCGGGGGAUCGCAAGACCUCGCGCAAUUGGAGCGGCCGAUGCCCGAUUAGCUAGUUGGUGAGGUAAAGGCUCACCAAGGCGACGAUCGGUAGCUGGUCUGAGAGGACGACCAGCCACACUGGGACUGAGACACGGCCCAGACUCCUACGGGAGGCAGCAGUGGGGAAUUUUGGACAAUGGGGGCAACCCUGAUCCAGCCAUGCCGCGUGCAGGAUGAAGGCCUUCGGGUUGUAAACUGCUUUUGUCAGGGACGAAAAGGACCGUGUUAAUACCAUGGUCUGCUGACGGUACCUGAAGAAUAAGCACCGGCUAACUACGUG
Molecule: ribosomal RNA, 488 nt
Filed under: uncultured bacterium
Lineage: Bacteria
Description: bacterial SSU rRNA
Rfam family: Bacterial small subunit ribosomal RNA
Source: RNAcentral